CCUACGGGUGGCUGCAGUGGGGAAUAUUGGACAAUGGGGGCAACCCUGAUCCAGCCAUGCCGCGUGUGUGAAGAAGGCCCUCGGGUUGUAAAGCACUUUCAGUGAGGAAGAACGCCUGGUGGUUAAUACCCAUCAGGAAAGACAUCACUCACAGAAGAAGCACCGGCUAACUCCGUGCCAGCAGCCGCGGUAAUACGGAGGGUGCGAGCGUUAAUCGGAAUUACUGGGCGUAAAGCGCGCGUAGGUGGCUUGAUAAGCCGGUUGUGAAAGCCCCGGGCUCAACCUGGGAACGGCAUCCGGAACUGUCAAGCUAGAGUGCAGGAGAGGAAGGUAGAAUUCCCGGUGUAGCGGUGAAAUGCGUAGAGAUCGGGAGGAAUACCAGUGGCGAAGGCGGCCUUCUGGACUGACACUGACACUGAGGUGCGAAAGCGUGGUAGCAAACAGGAUUAGAUACCCGAGUAGUC
This 464-nucleotide ribosomal RNA is filed under the name Vreelandella stevensii. RNAcentral describes it as "partial 16S ribosomal RNA". It matches the Rfam family "Bacterial small subunit ribosomal RNA", at positions 338 to 795 of the family's 1533-position model. Lineage: Bacteria; Pseudomonadati; Pseudomonadota; Gammaproteobacteria; Oceanospirillales; Halomonadaceae. The record is from RNAcentral.